This 253-nucleotide ribosomal RNA is filed under the name uncultured bacterium. RNAcentral's name for it is "partial 16S ribosomal RNA". It matches the Rfam family "Bacterial small subunit ribosomal RNA", at positions 15 to 262 of the family's 1533-position model. The record is from RNAcentral.
GAUCAUGGCUCAGGAUGAACGCUAGCUACAGGCUUAACACAUGCAAGUCGAGGGGCAUCAGGAAGAAAGCUUGCUUUCUUUGCUGGCGACCGGCGCACGGGUGAGUAACACGUAUCCAACCUGCCCUUUACUCGGGGAUAGCCUUUCGAAAGAAAGAUUAAUACCCGAUGGCAUAAUGAUUCCGCAUGGUUUCAUUAUUAAAGGAUUCCGGUAAAGGAUGGGGAUGCGUUCCAUUAGGUUGUUGGUUGUAGGG